Molecule: long non-coding RNA, 247 nt
Filed under: Elaeis guineensis (African oil palm)
Lineage: Eukaryota; Viridiplantae; Streptophyta; Magnoliopsida; Arecales; Arecaceae
Description: long non-coding RNA (EGUI_LNC028422)
Source: RNAcentral
GUGGGAUUUUGGCUAUUUGGUGACCAGAUAGAGCUUUUGUAUAUGUUUUUCACAACAGUGCUCAAUAGAUUAUUACUAUUAUUUCUAAACCGAAUAAAUGGCCAUGAGUCCUUUACACAGUCUACGUGAUACUAGUUUCUAAAAAAAAAAAAACAAGAAGAAUGUUAUGGAGGGAAAUCGAGGUGGUUAUUUAAGAAAGUGUCCCCACCCUAGUUGUAGGUGACUUUAACUGCGUUGAGAUUCUCCA